This 316-nucleotide ribosomal RNA is filed under the name uncultured bacterium. RNAcentral's name for it is "bacterial SSU rRNA". It matches the Rfam family "Bacterial small subunit ribosomal RNA", at positions 28 to 334 of the family's 1533-position model. The record is from RNAcentral.
GAUAAACGCUGGCGGCGCACAUAAGACAUGCAAGUCGAACGGACUUAACUCAUUCUUUUAGAUUGAGAGCGGUUAGUGGCGGACUGGUGAGUAACACGUAAGCAACCUGCCUAUUAGAGGGGAAUAACAGUGAGAAAUCAUUGCUAAUACCGCAUAUGCUAACAGUAUCGCAUGAUACAGUUAGGAAAGGAGCAAUCCGCUAAUAGAUGGGCUUGCGUCUGAUUAGCUAGUUGGUGAGGUAACGGCCCACCAAGGCGACGAUCGGUAGCCGGACUGAGAGGUUGAACGGCCACAUUGGGACUGAGACACGGCCCAG